GGGAAACCAAGGCGAACAUACAAACUGGGCCCUGUCAACCUUAAUGACAUUUCUGGAGAAAAAGAAGGCAGCAAUGGGAUAGUCAGAAGAGGACAGAAAAUGGAGUAUGGAAAUCCAGGUACUGUGCCAGGAAUGGGGGAAACAAAGAGAAAGUUGUAAACAGUCUCUUUCCUCAAGAUGUUUGCAUUCGACUGUGGUUUCAAAGAUACAGGAUUACCAGAUUUGUGCCAUCAACAAAUGCGAUAGGCAUAGGAUUUGCCUUCAUUCAAAUAAGUGAUACGAAUGUUAAACAGCUUUCAUCCAAGGACAGAACUCAAGAAGAUGCUUCACUAGAGACCUUCUUCCAGUCUGAGUCUCAGAGAUGGAAGAGGACUGAGAAGAACAUCAAGGGAUAAGGGAAGAAAUUCAAUCAACUAUCCGGCACUAGGCAGAAGGCCAAGGAUGGAGUCUUCAGGAUGCUCCAACAUCGUCAAGUGGGUAAAGGAAGAAAUUCAGUCAACUAACUGGAGAAGGACCCUUAUUCAUUUGUGGAAAUUAUACUCAUGUAAAAUGAACAGAACCAGAGAAUAUGGUACACAGUAACAGAAAUAUUGUAUGAUGAUCAACUGUGAAUCACUCAGCUGUUCUCAGCAAUACAAUGAUCCAAAACAAUU
This is a long non-coding RNA of Dromiciops gliroides (monito del monte), 653 nucleotides long. RefSeq lists it as uncharacterized. The record is from RefSeq and is a predicted model, not a curated record. Lineage: Eukaryota; Metazoa; Chordata; Mammalia; Microbiotheria; Microbiotheriidae. The transcript is spliced from 6 exons.